RNAcentral lists this ribosomal RNA (301 nucleotides) under uncultured bacterium. RNAcentral's name for it is "partial 16S ribosomal RNA". It matches the Rfam family "Bacterial small subunit ribosomal RNA", at positions 509 to 807 of the family's 1533-position model. The record is from RNAcentral.
CAGCAGCCACGGGAAUACGGAGGAUCCAAGCGUUAUCCGGAAUCAUUGGGUUUAAAGGGUCCGUAGGCGGUCUUGUAAGUCAGUGGUGAAAGCCCAUCGCUCAACGGUGGAACGGCCAUUGAUACUGCAGGACUUGAAUUAUUUGGAAGUAACUAGAAUAUGUAGUGUAGCGGUGAAAUGCUUAGAGAUUACAUGGAAUACCAAUUGCGAAGGCAGGUUACUACCAAUUGAUUGACGCUGAUGGACGAAAGCGUGGGUAGCGAACAGGAUUAGAUACCCCCGUAGUCCCUGUCUCUUAUAC